AAAAAUAAAAUAAACCAUACAAUCUGAAAUUCCGUCGAGAUCAAAAACAAAAUCGGAGCAUUGUAAACACAUAGUAGAGAUUGCACAUUAAAUUAACUUAACCGACGGCGACAUGACAAUUUUUGAAAGAAGAUUCUCUGACAUAAUAUGGAUCAAGUUCAUCAUGAGAGAAGGAACAUGAGGCAAAUCAUAUUAUGAUAUAACAUCAAUUUCCUUAUUAAUUGUUUACUAGACAUGACAAUUUUUGAAAGAAGAUUCUCUAACAUAAUAUGGAUCAAGUUCAUCAUGAGAGAAGGAACAUGAGGCAAAUCAUAUUAUGAUAUAACAUCAAUUUCCUUAUUAAUUGUUUACUAACUUGUGCUAAGUUGAGUCUUGUUAUUGAUUCCUUAUCACUUAGAGUUAGUUGUUUGUUUGUUAGUUUAUUAUUCUUCUAUUAGGUUUAAAGGUAGCUUCUUGUUAGACUUUUCUGUUUUGUUUCAUCUUGUAUAUAUGUAUCUUUUAUCAUUACUUUUGUAACAUUAUUAAAAGUUUAUCAAUAAC
RNAcentral lists this long non-coding RNA (540 nucleotides) under Cicer arietinum (chickpea). Its description in RNAcentral is "long non-coding RNA (CARI_LNC001948)". The record is from RNAcentral. Lineage: Eukaryota; Viridiplantae; Streptophyta; Magnoliopsida; Fabales; Fabaceae.